Molecule: long non-coding RNA, 1041 nt
Organism: Epinephelus fuscoguttatus (brown-marbled grouper)
Lineage: Eukaryota; Metazoa; Chordata; Actinopteri; Perciformes; Serranidae
Exons: 3
Source: RefSeq, a predicted model, not a curated record
GGCUGGAGGUACAGCAGGGUUUCAAAAGAGCAAGCCGCCCAGAAACGCUUCACACUUCCUGAAAACUGCAAUAUUUUAGCAAGUUUCUGACAGCUGAGGACCAGAAACCCACAAAAUUCUUUCAUUAUUCACUCGGCACCAGCUGGGUGUGUGUUCAGCCUGAAUGCUGAAGCUUGCAUAAGAUAUUAAAACCUGAGUCAAAGAUUACUAAGAUUUGUGGAACACAAUGCAUCAGGCUUCUUGGAUUGAUUACAGUCUAAGAGAUGGAGAGAUUACUUUCUCCUUUUCACAGCAUCUUGACAUGGAUGACAGUCUAUUCAUACAGCACUGAUCUGAUCUUUUUGACUUGAAAAACACUUUAAACGGCACGAACUGAACUUCUUUUCUGCCAAAGGUGCCAGUAACAUGCUGAGAUAUGCAGCAAUGGGCCAACAAAGGCAAAGAAGGCAACAAAGAAGGCAACAAAGAAGAAGAAGAUAGACAGCAGGACAACAUCUUCCAGCCCUCUGAAGCCAAUUUGACAUAGUGACCAGACCUUGCAACUACAACUUCCAGGUCCGACACUUGAUGCUAUUAGGGCCAAAAAGAUGUGGAUGUAGGGGCUCUGGGUAAAUUUGGUGAUGUCAAAAUUUUUGUGGUUUCAUACGCCUCUGAGGAACAACAAACACACACUUUAUUUUUCAAGCACAUUGAGUUUCCAGCACAGAGUUUUUAUUCUAAGGUGCAGUUUCCUGCUGUGAAGUGAGUGACUAACAGAGACAGCAAACUAGCUCAACGACAUAGCCAAAUGCAAGUAUGGUGCAGAAUAUAUGAAACCGUGUGGACCUUGAAAUAACAACUAAGGAGAAAUCUGAACCCUGUGGCUGGACAAGUUGGGAACCACUGUUGUUAACAAUGCUGGAUUUGAAAUACUAAAAAACGGGGAAAGACAAGAUUGACAGCAAGAAAACGUCUCCCAGCCCCCAGGGAGUGCGUCAGACUUUGAAGCCAAUUUGACACGGUGAGCCGACCUUAUAGCUACAACUUCCAGAUCUGACAUGU